RNAcentral lists this long non-coding RNA (709 nucleotides) under Cricetulus griseus (Chinese hamster). Its description in RNAcentral is "lncRNA (ENSCGRG00015040013.1)". Lineage: Eukaryota; Metazoa; Chordata; Mammalia; Rodentia; Cricetidae. The record is from RNAcentral.
CAGGCUUCACAACAGGCAACUGGGUAUGCCAACCAUGAGAUGUCUCUGCAACUGCCUUGCUGUGUCCUGUGACCCCCAACAAGCCGUUUCUACUUCUCUUGUCUACUUUCACCAGCUUCUGUUUCUCACUGUCCUUGUUAGCGAAAAAGAUCACUCCUGAAAAUCUUAUGGAGUAUUCAGAUCUCGAGUUUCUCAGCCCACGAUAUCCAAACAGUUCAAUGUCUCAGUCACACCUAAGUUCAAAAGCAAAGUAAGGAAUCAGGUCUCCUGUAACAAGCUGGCCUCUAUCCAUUACAGCAGAGGCUGAGCUUGAAUUCCUGAUCUUCCUGAUUCCAGCUUCCAAGGCGAGAGUUACAGGGACAGAAUCCAGACCCUUUCACAUUAGCCAAGUACUCAACCAGAGGUUGGCCUCAAACAGGGAAUGUAGCCGUCUAAAGAAGAUUACAUUGUGGAUUCUGAUCCUGUUAGGAUGUCAGGUGUAGACCAUCACGCUGGGAUCUUGAGGUACUGGGGAUCUAACCCAGGGCUUUGUGCACAAGAGACAAAUCACUCUGCCAACCUAUAUCCUCAGCACCCUUCUCUUUUUAAAUGCUUUUAUUUGUUUUUGUUGUUUGAUCUUUUGAGACACGGUCUCAGAGAGCUCCGGGUAGCCUUGAACUCACUACAUUAGCCAAAGUUGAUCUCGACCUCUUUAUUCUCCUGCCUCUGC